Long non-coding RNA from Alnus glutinosa, 642 nucleotides. RefSeq lists it as uncharacterized. The transcript is spliced from 4 exons. Lineage: Eukaryota; Viridiplantae; Streptophyta; Magnoliopsida; Fagales; Betulaceae. The record is from RefSeq and is a predicted model, not a curated record.
UUGACUCAUAAUUAUUUGGGGAAACUUCACCUUGUAUAGCAGUACCUGACAAUCCUUGGGAGUUUGGCGCUUCUCCUGCAUGACACUGUACAGUCUAGAGAUAUCUUGAGAGCAUCUCUAACAUUGGCAAACAAGCUUUAUGAUAUCCCAACCCAGAUCUGGGUGCUUUCUGUUUUGACAGCCUUGUAUCGAGAGUUGGAUGAGAGGGGAAAUGAAAUGGAAAAUGCUGAAUAUCAAAGGAAAAAGGUAGAUGAUCUGCAAAGGGGACUGCUGAUGCACAUUCAUCCAUUCAUCACAUUGAACUAAUUGACAGAGUAAGACUUGAAGUUCAGCAGUUUCAAAUCUCGACAUCAAACAUACAACAGGCCCUUCCAUGAGAGUCAAUCUGGACAUCCCAGAGUCUAUCGGUCUGUCUACCCCUUUACCUGCUCCAUCAUCAUCAAGGCUAGUGGAUUUAGACACUGGAAGACGAAAAUCUAGUAAAGUAGGAAGAAGGUAGCAAAAGUAUGGUGCUGUGGAUAUAGGCUUAGGUUUUAUUAACUCAUUUGUACGUGCAAAACAAACGAGUUUUGGAUGACCUUACCAGUUACCACAUUCAGCAAUGACCCUGACUCUAGGGCGCAGCGUGGGAAGCAAAGCGAG